Molecule: transfer RNA, 95 nt
Filed under: Actinoplanes regularis
Lineage: Bacteria; Bacillati; Actinomycetota; Actinomycetes; Micromonosporales; Micromonosporaceae
Description: tRNA-Thr
Source: RNAcentral
GUUCGCGGCUGGGUCGGUGGUUCCGGCCUGGCCGGUGGUUCCGGCCUGGCCGGUGGUUCCGGCCUGGCCGGUGGUUCCGGCCUGGCCGGUGGUCG